Caretta caretta (loggerhead turtle) is the source of this 4571-nucleotide non-coding RNA. The record is from RefSeq and is a predicted model, not a curated record. Lineage: Eukaryota; Metazoa; Chordata; Testudines; Cheloniidae.
CAGACCUCAACCCUAUUGUCCCUCUGCAAAUUUGUGUACACAGAGUCAAUCCCUUACCUCUCUCUAAAUGUGCACAGUUUCAAAACAUUCAAUGAAUAGAAGAUUGCUGGGGGCGGAAUAGAUCUGGACAAGGAGAAGUCUGGAGAUAAAUGUGAGAAGGGAGGGACAGGCAGUAGAAACAAAAGUGAAACUGUUUGAGCAGCAUAUUCCAGAAGUCUUGAGGUCUUUCUGAGUUUAGACUUCAUUGAUUUGAGAUCUACCAUACCAUUCUCUCACUAAAAGGGAAAACCUUUUAGCAGCAGGCAGCAGGCCGUAAAAGAGACCUAGUUUGGGAAUAUUUUAAUGAAGUUCCUCUACCUGCGGGUAAGUCAGGCAUGCAUGCAAAACGCAAACAGUGCAGCAAAGAAAUGCAAGGCCUGGUUGCCUGAAUGAAACAUCAUCAUGAGAAGUGUUCCUUCUCAGGAGGAAACUGCAUUAAAAAUGAUGAAAGGAACAUAUCUGAACAUGCACAUCCAUAUCUUCAGAAGAAUCCAUCCUCAACAUACAGGAUUCUGAAGACUAUCCACAUUCAAGAUCACCAUCAUUUUCUAUAGUUUCAGAGUUAUCUGCCAAUGAUAGUGUUUCAGUCACAUCAUGUAUGUCACAUAGCCACAGUAUACCACCUGUAGCAAAAAAAUAAAAAUAAAUCUCCAUCAUCCAGAAACAACCAUAGCUGGCUAUUAUAGGAGUAUUUUCAUGUUUCAAAGAAAGUCCCCAUGUGAGCAAUGGAACAACCCUUGGAAACCUCCAAAGGCUGAGGUGAGAUGCCUGCUAGAUCCAAUGGCUUAGAACUGUAAACCCAGGAGCAGGAACUGAUUGAGAUAGAUAUCUUCAGAACAACUAUAAUUAUGAGAUUCUAAUUACCUCUCUGUUAGCUACCAACCGCGAAAUAGGAAGGCUUCAAAAUUCCAUACAGUUUAGAAAUGGUCAUCCAACCUCUUUAGCAAUGGUAAUGACUUGUACAGAGUAUGAAAGAAACAUAACAGGUCUUUAGGAGAGCCAAAGAAAAAAAGCAAAACAAGUUAUUCACAAGUUAAAAACAAAAAACAAAAAACUGAUGACUACCUACACCACAGGACGUAUCAUUAUUUAAGAUCAGGAAAAUGAAAGCUGAAAUGAAUUAUAAAGAAAAGUUAAACCAUUAAUGAACAGAGAGUAUGAUAAGACUAAGUUAUUCACUAUCUUAUGUGAUUUGUGAACUUAUUUCAGUAAGUCUUAUUAUUGAUAUAAGAUGUGCUAAAAAGACAGUCUCCUUCUGCAUUACUCUGUAUUGCUGCAUAAACACUGCAUUCAUGUUUUUCCUAAAGUCUAACCUGUUUCUCCACAAUGUUCAUGAAGUAGGAAGGGGUGCAGGAGGACAAAUCACACGGUCUCUCUCCAGAAGGGACCUUCUGGAUGGAAGAGGAGGAAUGUGGUAGUCCCUUAUUCCUUCUGGAAUUCACCACUGAUGUGGAACUUAAUCGGCCCUGCUGUUUCAUCAAAUCUUCAGGCUUCUGAUCACCACCAAGGACAACUGGACCCUAGGGAGAGAAAAUGACACUGGAUUCAUCAUCUGCACAGAGUUUUGGAAACUGCAGUAUAAAGAAUUAAAGCAUCCUCAAGAAAUAACCACCAGGGGAGUGAAACACUAAAGAAGCAGUGAGAAAACUAACUAUAGAAUGUAAAUAAUACGCAAACUCUGAAGCAGUUACGAUUGUCUCUCCUUCAACAAACCCACAAAAACAAGGAAAUGAAAAGUAAGCCACUCAACAGUACAAAGCCUCUACACCUCCACCCACAAGCAAACAUCUUACCAUUACCAGAACAUACAUCAAAAACUGCAGGCCCCAGUCUUUACUCUGCCUUCCACUUCCACUAUUCUGACACACCCUUUACUCCUGGGGAAACUGUGCACCAAAAUAUUAAAAAUUCUGUGCACAAUAUUUUAAAAUUAUGCAUAUUUUAUUUGUAAAAACAACUAUAUAAUUACACCAGUUUCAAUUAUUUUGGUAAUUUAUUUCAAAAUACCAGUCAGCAAGUAUGUCUAACAAUACAGACACCAAAAAAGAUUCAGGAAAUGUUUUUUGUCAAACAGAUUCCUUAUUAGACAUAUUAAUACUGAGUAAUAAUUAAUUUAAAACAACAAUACCAAAAUGUAUUUCCCACACCCCUCAGAAGCAGUGCAAAGGCUUGGGGGAGUUUUCAAAAUCCCUCUUGCAAACUUCCUUGAACCUUAGCCCAGGUUGGCUCAGUGGCCUUGGAGCAUCCUCAGGCUCUCCAUACAGGAGAACAUAAGAACGGCCAUACUGGGUCAGACCAAAGGUCCAUCUAGCCCAGUAUCUUGUCUUCCGACAGUGGCCAAUGACAGGUGCUUCAGAGAGAAUAAACAGAGCAGGUAAUCAUCAACUGAUACAUCCCCUGUCACCCAUUCCCAGCUUCUGGCAAACAGAGGCUAUGGACACUAUCCCUGCCCAUCCUGGCUAAUAGCCAUAGAUGGACCUAUCUUCCAUUAAUUUAUCUAGCUCUUUUUUGAACCCUAUUAUAGUCUUGGCCUUCACAACAUCCUCUGGCAAAGAGUUCCAUAGGUUGACUGUGCGUUGUGUGAAGAAAUACUUCCUUUUGUUUGUUUUAAACCAGCUGCCUACUAAUUUCAUUUGAUGACCCCUAAUUCUUGUAUAAUGAGAAGGAGUAAAUAAUACUACUUUAUUUCGUUUCUCCACACCUAUCAUGAUUUUAUAGACCUCUAACAUAUCCCCACUUAGUUGUCUCUUUUCCAAGCUGAAAAGUCCCAGACUUAUUAAUCUUUCUUCACAUGGAAGCUGUUCCAUACCCCUAAUCAUUUUUGUUGCCGUUUUCUGUACCUUUUCCAAUUCCAAUAUAUCUCCUUUUGAGAUGGGGUGACUACAUCUACACGCAAUAUUCAAGAUGUGGGUGGUACCAAAGAUUUAUAUAGAGGCAAUAUGAUAGGUCCUUUGGAAUGCACCUGGUACAGAUGACCAAGGCAAUGAAGAUGCCUGUGGAGCAGUCUUCCUGGCUUAAGGACCUAUUGCUUUCUUGAUGCCAUCAUACGUAUCUCUUAGACCUCCAUUCUCAAGGACAUUUCACAGAAUCAUAGAAGAUUAGGGUUGGAAGAAAUUUCAGGAGGUCAUAUAGUCCACCCUCCUGCGCAAAGCAGAUUUGUAUCUUCUUGCACAAAUAGGGCCAUGUGUGAUUAAGCACAUUGCUUUGUACUGGUUGCAAUGUGCCCUUGGCCAAUCUGAGGUUAAUACAUGCAUCAGGAGAGGGGUUCAUGUUGUGCUGGAGGAAUGCUGUGCAUUUUGCCUCCAUGACUAGGAGCAUUUCUUCAGAAUAUGCCAAUCUUUAUCUUGUACCAUCUUUUUAUCAAAGGCUAAAGUUGAAGCUGUAUAGAUAUGUCUUCCAAGUGUAUUCCAUGCUGCAUCAGCAUUCAGGGAGGUAUAAACAGAGGACAUAUCUUCCCUGAGAUAUGUAAUACAUUGGCAACACUUUCACAUCAGCAACACAAAAGACCAAGGAAUGUGUAGGCAACAGCUUUCUUUAGUAUGAUGGAAUUUCCAUAGUGAAAAUCUUGUUUUGCAGCAUACAAAUGCAUAGUCUAUGUAAGGCCUGGUCUACACUACGGGGUUAGGUCAACUUUAGCCACGUUUGUCGAUUUAAAAAUGACUGUGUCCACACAACCAACCCCAUUCCGUCAACCUAAAGGGCUCUUAAAAUCGACUUCUGUACUCUUCCCCGACGAGGGGAGUAGCACUAAAAUCUACCUUGCUGGGUCGAAUUUGGGGUAGUGCAGACACAAAUUGACAGUAUUGGCCUCCAGGAGCUAUCCCAGAGUGCUCCAUUGUGACCGCUCUGGACAGCACUUUGAACUCCGAUGCACUAGACAGGUACACAGAAAAAGCCCCGGGAACUUUUGAAUUUCAUUUCCUGUUUGAUCAGCAUGGCAAACUCAGCAGCACAGGUGACCAUGCAGUCCCCCCAGAAUCGUAGAGCAUAGAAUGUUUCUACGCUCCCCCUAUCAUCUCCAUCCCUGAGGUUAUCGCAGAUUAGAAGGCGAAAAAAACCCACUCGCGAUGACAUGUUUUCCGAGCUCAUGCUGUCCUCCCGCACUGAUAGGGCACAGCUUAAUGCAUGGAGGCAUUCAGUGGCAGAGGCCAGGGAAGAAUUAAGUGACUGAGAAGAGCGGAGGCAGGACGCGAUGCUGAAGCUAAUGGGAGAGCAAACGGACAUGAUGAAGCGUCUGUUGGGGGAGCAAAUGACAUGAUGAAGCAUCUGCUGGAGCUGCAGGAAAGCCAACAAGAGCACAGAUCCCAGCUGCAUUCAUUGUAUAACCGCCUACACUCCUCCCCAUGUUCCAUAGCCUCCUCAUCCAGACGCCCAAGAAAGCAGAGGGGGAGGCUCCAGGCACCCAGCCACUCCACUCCAGAGGAUGGCCCAAGCAACAGAAGGCUGUCAUUCAAACAGUUUGAUUUUUAGUGUGGCUACAAUAAGCAAUGUGGCCUUGUCCUUCCCUCCUCCCCCAUGCCACCUGGGCUACC